RNAcentral lists this unclassified non-coding RNA (240 nucleotides) under soil metagenome. Its description in RNAcentral is "partial contains 5.8S ribosomal RNA, internal transcribed spacer 2, and large subunit ribosomal RNA". The record is from RNAcentral.
AAGACUAUAGACCUGCGGAGUACCUGCGGAAGGAUCAUUACAUGGCGGAGGAGGUGGGCACCUAGUAAAAACAAAACCCUAGGUGUGUUGCCUACCACGCUUUCUACCCUUGUCUAUUUGCACCUUUUGUCGUUCCCUCGGUGGGUCUUGAACCUGCCGGCGGCAACUUUCAAAAACCUUUUGUAGUUAGUAUCUAAUUCUUCUGAUCAAAUAUUCAAUCGUUACAACUUUCAGCAACGG